This 711-nucleotide small RNA is filed under the name Pongo abelii (Sumatran orangutan). Its description in RNAcentral is "processed transcript". Lineage: Eukaryota; Metazoa; Chordata; Mammalia; Primates; Hominidae. The record is from RNAcentral.
GAUCCUGGCCCACUGGGCCUGCUACAAGGUGCAACAGAAGGAUGUCUCAGAUGAGGAUGUGGCUCGAGCCAUUAACCAGAAGCUGGGGGACACGCCUGGUGUCUCUUACUCCGACAUUGCUGCACGAGCCUAUGGUUGUGGCCGCACGGAGCUGGCCAUCAAGGUGUGGGUGCCCAGCCCUCCACAGACACUCUGAUGUGGUUUUUCAGGGCCCCCAUGCCAGCUCCUUCUCUCUGUGCCUGCCUUCUCACCUCACAGCUGCUGGAGUAUGAGCCACGCUCAGGGGAGCAGGUACCCCUUCUUCUAAAGAUGAAGAGGAGCAAACUGGCACUAAGCAAGGCCAUCGAGAGCGGGGACACUGACCUGGGUGAGGGCAAGGCUGGGGGACCCCUGGGCUAAGUGGGAGCCUGGCUGGAGUUCCCACCCCACCUUAUUCUCCUGCAGUGUUCACGGUGUUGCUGCACCUGAAGAACGAGCUGAACCGAGGAGAUUUUUUCAUGACCCUUCGGAAUCAGCCCAUGGCCCUGAGUUUGUACCGACAGUUCUGUAAGCAUCAGGAGCUAGAGACGCUGAAGGACCUUUACAAUCAGGAUGACAAUCACCAGGAAUUGGGCAGCUUCCACAUCCGAGCCAGUUAUGCUGCAGAAGAGCGUAUUGAGGGGCGAGUAGCAGCUCUGCAGACAGCCGCCGAUGCCUUCUACAAGGCCAAGA